GCUUCUUUAGUUUAAUAUUAAAAAUUUGGCUUUGAUGAUGCUUAGAUUUUAGGGGUA
RNAcentral lists this transfer RNA (57 nucleotides) under Clavinema parasiluri. RNAcentral describes it as "tRNA-Ile". The record is from RNAcentral. Lineage: Eukaryota; Metazoa; Nematoda; Chromadorea; Rhabditida; Philometridae.